CGCACAAGCAGCGGAGCAUGCGGCUUAAUUCGACGCAACGCGAAGAACCUGACCAAGGCUUGACAUAUACAGGAAUACGGCAGAGAUGUCGUAGCCGCAAGGUCUGUAUACAGGUGGUGCAUGGUUGUCGUCAGCUCGUGUCGUGAGAUGUUGGGUUAAGUCCCGCAACGAGCGCAACCCUCGUUCUGUGUUGCCAGCAUUUAGUUGGGGACUCACAGGAGACUGCCGGGGUUAACUCGGAGGAAGGUGGGGAUGACGUCAAAUCAUCAUGCCCCUUAUGUCUUGGGCUGCACGCAUGCUACAAUGGCUGGUACAAACGGCUGCAAUACCGCAAGGUGGAGCGAAUCCGAGAAAGCCAGUCUCAGUUCGGAUUGGGGUCUGCAACUCGACCCCAUGAAGUCGGAGUUGCUAGUAAUCGUAGAUCAGCAACGCUACGGUGAAUACGUUCCCGGGGCUUGUACACACCGCCCGUCACGUCACGAAAGUCGGUAACACCCAAA
RNAcentral lists this ribosomal RNA (500 nucleotides) under uncultured Actinomycetes bacterium. RNAcentral describes it as "bacterial SSU rRNA". It matches the Rfam family "Bacterial small subunit ribosomal RNA", at positions 922 to 1425 of the family's 1533-position model. The record is from RNAcentral. Lineage: Bacteria; Bacillati; Actinomycetota; Actinomycetes.